GAUGAGCGCUGGCGGCGUGCCUAAUACAUGCAAGUCGAGCGAACGGACGAGAAGCUUGCUCUUCUGAUGUUAGCGGCGGACGGGUGAGUAACACGUGGAUAACCUACCUAUAAGACUGGGAUAACUUCGGGAAACCGGAGCUAAUACCGGAUAAUAUUUUGAACCGCAUGGUUCAAAAGUGAAAGACGGUCUUGCUGUCACUUAUAGAUGGAUCCGCGCUGCAUUAGCUAGUUGGUAAGGUAACGGCUUACCAAGGCAACGAUGCAUAGCCGACCUGAGAGGGUGAUCGGCCACACUGGAACUGAGACACGGUCCAGACUCCUACGGGAGGCAGCAGUAGGGAAUCUUCCGCAAUGGGCGAAAGCCUGACGGAGCAACGCCGCGUGAGUGAUGAAGGUCUUCGGAUCGUAAAACUCUGUUAUUAGGGAAGAACAUAUGUGUAAGUAACUGUGCACAUCUUGACGGUACCUAAUCAGAAAGCCACGGCUAACUACGUG
This 497-nucleotide ribosomal RNA is filed under the name uncultured bacterium. RNAcentral describes it as "partial 16S ribosomal RNA". It matches the Rfam family "Bacterial small subunit ribosomal RNA", at positions 28 to 507 of the family's 1533-position model. The record is from RNAcentral.